AUAAMACAUGCARGUCGAGCGGUAGCACAGAGAGCUUGCUCUCGGGUGACGAGCGGCGGACGGGUGAKUAAUGUCUGGGAAACUGCCUGAUGGAGGGGGAUAACUACUGGAAACGGUAGCUAAUACCGCAUAAYGUCGCAAGACCAAAGUGGGGGACCUUCGGGCCUCAUGCCAUCAGAUGUGCCCAGAUGGGAUUAGCUAGUAGGUGGGGUAACGGCUCACCUAGGCGACGAUCCCUAGCUGGUCUGAGAGGAUGACCAGCCACACUGGAACUGAGACACGGUCCAGACUCCUACGGGAGGCAGCAGUGGGGAAUAUUGCACAAUGGGCGCAAGCCUGAUGCAGCCAUGCCGCGUGUGUGAAGAAGGCCUUCGGGUUGUAAAGCACUUUCAGCGGGGAGGAAGGCGKURAGGUUAAUAACCUYGUCGAUUGACGUUACCCGCAGAAGAAGCACCGGCUAACUCCGUGC
Molecule: ribosomal RNA, 469 nt
Filed under: Klebsiella pneumoniae
Lineage: Bacteria; Pseudomonadati; Pseudomonadota; Gammaproteobacteria; Enterobacterales; Enterobacteriaceae
Description: bacterial SSU rRNA
Rfam family: Bacterial small subunit ribosomal RNA
Source: RNAcentral